Molecule: ribosomal RNA, 378 nt
Filed under: uncultured bacterium
Lineage: Bacteria
Description: bacterial SSU rRNA
Rfam family: Bacterial small subunit ribosomal RNA
Source: RNAcentral
UAAUACGGAGGGUGCGAGCGUUGUCCGGAAUCACUGGGCGUAAAGGGCGCGUAGGUGGCUUAGAAAGCGUGUGGUGAAAGCCCGGGGCUUAACCCCGGGUCUGCCGUGCGAACUACUAUGGCUAGAGGACUGUAGAGGCAAGUUGAAUUCCGGGUGUAGCGGUGGAAUGCGUAGAGAUCCGGAAGAAUACCGGUGGCGAAGGCGGCUUGCUGGGCAGUUUCUGACACUGAGGCGCGACAGCGUGGGGAGCAAACAGGAUUAGAUACCCUGGUAGUCCACGCCGUAAACGAUGGGCACUAGGUGCUUGGGGGAGCGACCCUCUGAGUGCCGUCGCUAACGCAGUAAGUGCCCCGCCUGGGGAGUACGGCCGCAAGGCUG